This 292-nucleotide long non-coding RNA is filed under the name Coffea arabica (coffee). Its description in RNAcentral is "long non-coding RNA (CARA_LNC005982)". The record is from RNAcentral. Lineage: Eukaryota; Viridiplantae; Streptophyta; Magnoliopsida; Gentianales; Rubiaceae.
AAACGAUAGCUAAACAUAUGAAAACAAGUUAUGGCCUUAUGAUCAUGAGUGAUUGGUAGAUUCCUUAGAGACAAGAUUUUCACUUCAAAUUGUCAUGAAAGAUAAGUCAGCAAUAGACUUUAUGAGCUUGUAAUGUGGCUUGACAACGAUAGUUAAAAGAAAUAAAAUUUUCAAGGACAACGCACUUAAAAUCGCAUUCCUUCCCAAAAAUUGCCCCAGUUUUGGACUUAAAACUCGGGACUCUAUCUUGACUCCCUUUUCUUAUCAAUCCUCUUCUUUUUUUUUUUUUUAA